RNAcentral lists this ribosomal RNA (497 nucleotides) under uncultured bacterium. RNAcentral describes it as "partial 16S ribosomal RNA". It matches the Rfam family "Bacterial small subunit ribosomal RNA", at positions 374 to 863 of the family's 1533-position model. The record is from RNAcentral.
GGCGAAAGCCUGAUCCAGCCAUGCCGCGUGUGUGAAGAAGGCCCUCGGGUUGUAAAGCACUUUCASCGAGGAAGAACGCCUAGUGGUUAAUACCCAUUAGGAAAGACAUCACUCGCAGAAGAAGCACCGGCUAACUCCGUGCCAGCAGCCGCGGUAAUACGGAGGGUGCAAGCGUUAAUCGGAAUUACUGGGCGUAAAGCGCGCGUAGGUGGCWUGAUAAGYCGGUUGUGAAAKCCCCGGGCUCAACCUGGGAACGGCAUCCGGAACUGUCAAGCUAGAGUGCAGGAGAGGAAGGUAGAAUUCCCGGUGUAGCGGUGAAAUGCGUAGAGAUCGGGAGGAAUACCAGUGGCGAAGGCGGCCUUCUGGAMUGACACUGACACUGAGGUGYGAAAGCGUGGGUAGCAAACAGGAUUAGAUACCCUGGUAGUCCACGCCGUAAACGAUGUASACCAGYCGUUGGKUGCCUAGCSCACUUUGUGGMGMAGUUAACGCGAUAA